RNAcentral lists this non-coding RNA (27 nucleotides) under Rattus norvegicus (Norway rat). The record is from RNAcentral. Lineage: Eukaryota; Metazoa; Chordata; Mammalia; Rodentia; Muridae.
UGAAAAACCUUUCUGGGAUCUGUGAGC